AAAAAGAAAAAAAAGAAAAAAAAGAAAAAGAGGAUUCAAUUCUUGAUUAGAUUUCUUUAUUUCUCAGGUUCAGGUUCAAAGGGCAGAGAAACACAGAGAGAGAAAGAGUGGGUGCUACUGUAUUUAUCUUGUUUCAUUAGGUUGAGGAAGCCCACCUUGGAGAGAAAAAUGUAUGAAUGUAUAUAUUGGGAGCAAAAGCAAACAAGUUGCCAGGAAGAAACUAUUUCUAUUUAUACCAUUUACUCUAAUGAAAAUUCAAGGAUAAAAUAAAGAAGCUCCAAGCAGAAGCAGGGUUUAGAAGCUGGAAUUUAAUUCAGGUAAAAGUUUAUGAAGUGAAGGGAGAGGACAAAGAGAGGGAAGGGAGAAAGGAGGAGGUGAGGGGGCUCGGGGGAGUUGGUGACCCUAAAAAUGGAAGGUGUGGGGCAUUGACCUGCACGUAUGAGGCGCAAGAUAGGGACCAUACGGAAAUGAAGAAAGGGGUGGAGGGUAUUUGGGUAAAUUGUGGGUGAAAAUCCAGGGAAGCAGCACGGAGGAAGUGGAGUUGAGUUGAGUUGAGUUUGAGG
This 563-nucleotide unclassified non-coding RNA is filed under the name Hevea brasiliensis (rubber tree). Lineage: Eukaryota; Viridiplantae; Streptophyta; Magnoliopsida; Malpighiales; Euphorbiaceae. The record is from RNAcentral.